Molecule: long non-coding RNA, 1391 nt
Organism: Oncorhynchus tshawytscha (Chinook salmon)
Lineage: Eukaryota; Metazoa; Chordata; Actinopteri; Salmoniformes; Salmonidae
Source: Ensembl
GUGAUUCCACCUCGGUGAGGGAGGAGCCUGAGUACACAGUGUCUGUUAGGCUCCUCCCUCACUGAGGUGGAAUCACUAACAGACACUGUGUACUCAGGCUCCUCCCUCACUGAGGUGGAAUCACUGAGUACACAGUGUCUGUUAGUGAUUCCACCUCAGUGAGGGAGGAGCCUGAGUACACAGUGACUGUUAGUGAUUCCACCUCAGUGAGGGAGGAGCCUGAGUACACAGUGACUGUUAGUGAUUCCACCUCAGUGAGGGAGGAGCCCGAGUACACAGUGACUGUUAGUGUGUUCAAUCCCUGGGUCGCGAGUUCAAUCCCGGAGUCGUGUGUUCAAUCCCGGAGUCGUGUGUUCAAUCCCUGGGUCGCGUGUUCAAUCCCUGGGUCGCGUGUUCAAUCCCUGGGUCGCGUGUUCAAUCCCAGGGUCGCGUGUUCAAUCCCGGAGUCGCGUGUUGAAUCCCUGGGUCGCGUGUUGAAUCCCUGGGUCGUGUGUUGAAUCCCAGAGUCGCGUGUUCAAUCCCGGAGUCGCGUGUUGAAUCCCGGAGUCGCGUGUUCAAUCCCAGAGUCGCGUGUUCAAUCCCAGAGUCGCGUGUUCAAUCCCAGAGUCGCGUGUUCAAUCCCAGAGUCACGUGUUCAAUCCCUGGGUCGCGAGUUCAAUCCCUGGGUCGCGUGUUCAAUCCCGGAGUCGCGUGUUCAAUCCCGGAGUCACGUGUUCAAUCCCGGAGUCGCGUGUUCAAUCCCGGAGUCGCGUGUUCAAUCCCGGGGUCGCUUGUUGAAUCCCUGGGUCGCGUGUUGAAUCCCAGAGUCGCGUGUUCAAUCCCAGAGUCGCGUGUUCAAUCCCGGAGUCGCGUGUUCAAUCCCGGGGUCGCGUGUUCAAUCCCGGGUCGCGUGUUCAAUCCCGGGGUCGCGUGUUCAAUCCCGGGGUCGCGUGUUCAAUCCCAGGGUCGCGUGUUCUAUCCUAGAGUUGCGUAUUCAAUUGUUUAAUCCCAAACCUUAACCAUUCUGAAUUAAUGCCUAAAAUGAACCUUCAAAAUGUGACCUUUUUUGGACAAAUGUCAUAUUCUGCACUGUAAGAGCUUGUUGCCCUUGUAUGGCCUUAAUUGCUAAUCAGACCACAUUCUGAGACAAGGAGACACACAACAACAGUCAGGUCAUGAAUAUUCAUGUAUUUAUUAAUGCCCUGUCAUCUGGUCCAGAGGAGCGUUUUAAUGUGUCUGUCUGUGUUCCAUAUUACUGUAGUUCUUCUAUUCAUGACAGCUUCUGUCUGUGUGUGUGUGUGUGUGUGUGUGUGUGUGUGUGUGUGUGUGUGUUGUGCGUUACUCUACUCCCCUCCUCCUAUACCUCUCUAUGACAGCUCCUGUGUGUGUGUGUGUGUUGUGCGUUACUGUAC